GAUGAACGCUGGCGGCGUGCCUAAUACAUGCAAGUCGAGCGAACAGACGAGGAGCUUGCUCCCCUGACGUUAGCGGCUGACGGGUGAGUAACACGUGGAUAACCUACUUAUAAUACUUGGAUAAUUUCGGGAAACCGGAGCUAAUACCGGAUAAUAUAUUGAACCGCAGGGUUCAAUAGUGAAAGACGGCUUUGCCGUCUCUUAUAGAUGGAUCCGCGCCGCAUUAGCUAGUUGGUAAGGUAACGGCUUACCAAGGCAACGAUGCGUAGCCGACCUGAGAGGGUGAUCAGCCACACUGGAACUGAGACACGGUCCAGACUCCUACGGGAGGCAGCAGUAGGGAAUCUUCCGCAAUGGGCGAAAGCCUGACGGAGCCACGCCGCGUGAGUGAUGAAGGUCUUCGGAUCGUAAAGCUCUGUUAUUAGGGAAGAACAAAUGUGUAAGUAACUCUGCACGUCUUGACGGUACCUAAUCAGAAAGCCCCGGCUAACUACGUG
RNAcentral lists this ribosomal RNA (497 nucleotides) under uncultured bacterium. RNAcentral describes it as "partial 16S ribosomal RNA". It matches the Rfam family "Bacterial small subunit ribosomal RNA", at positions 28 to 507 of the family's 1533-position model. The record is from RNAcentral.